UACGUAGGGGGCUAGCGUUGUCCGGAAUCAUUGGGCGUAAAGCGCGCGUAGGCGGCCCGGUAAGUCCGCUGUAAAAGUCAAAGGCUCAACCUUUGAAUGUCAGUGGAUACUGCCGGGCUAGAGUCCGGAAGAGGCGAAUGGAACUCCUGGUGUAGCGGUGGAAUGCGCAGAUAUCAGGAAGAACACCGACGGCGAAGGCAGCUCGCUGGGACGGUACUGACGCUGAGGCGCGAAAGCGUGGGGAGCGAACAGG
This 253-nucleotide ribosomal RNA is filed under the name uncultured bacterium. RNAcentral's name for it is "partial 16S ribosomal RNA". It matches the Rfam family "Bacterial small subunit ribosomal RNA", at positions 524 to 776 of the family's 1533-position model. The record is from RNAcentral.